Harpia harpyja (harpy eagle) is the source of this 632-nucleotide long non-coding RNA. RefSeq lists it as uncharacterized. The record is from RefSeq and is a predicted model, not a curated record. The transcript is spliced from 4 exons. Lineage: Eukaryota; Metazoa; Chordata; Aves; Accipitriformes; Accipitridae.
CCUGGUGUUACUGACCUCCAGACGUGCCUCCGCUGCUUCACAGAGCAGAAGCAGGAGCAUUCCCAGGGACCAAUGUCCUUAUUCCAGGGUUCAGCACCACCGGUGUGAACAAAAUAAAAGCCUUCAGUGAAUUCACUGCUAAGAUGUUUCUCAACUCCUGGCAAACCUUAUGGCAAAAGCAAAAAAGUGUUUUUAACACUGACGUGCAAAGCUUAAGAAAAGAGCUAUUGUCUCAGAAGACAGAGGCUGACAACUGAAUCGGUGAAACACAUAGUUAUCUUCCAUUUGGCUUUAAACUCUAUCGUUCUGUCUUCUUCCCUCAAACUAGCUGGACUGCACAGUUGAGCCUCUGAGUCAGCCCACCAAACUAUCAGAAAACUAACCCAGCAGAAGUGAAUCACUUCCACGUGAAGCUGGAAUUAGAGCAUGACUGCUUCACACGUAACCAACCUUCAGGCCCCCCCGGAAAGCUGAGCUCCAGGAUUGAGUUGAAACAAGAAACCAGAGGCCCAGGCUUUGUGAGACAGCUUGAAGAAAAGGAGUACCAGAAGUGCUUAGGGCAGAAAACUAGAACUUGUGGGACAACAGGACGUGAAUUGGACUGUGAUGUUGCUUCCAGGCAAAAAGCACCU